This 269-nucleotide unclassified non-coding RNA is filed under the name Hevea brasiliensis (rubber tree). Lineage: Eukaryota; Viridiplantae; Streptophyta; Magnoliopsida; Malpighiales; Euphorbiaceae. The record is from RNAcentral.
AUGAGCUUUAAUUGACAUAAUAUGGUUUGCAUGGAAAAGUUGUGUACUAUCUGAAACUUUCAAAAAAGCCUUAGAUAUGAGGUUGAAUUUUUAAUUGUAAUAGUGAUAGUAAUAGUUUUUACUUAUAAAAAUUGCUCUCAUAAACUUAUUCUGCUCAACACAAGUUAUCUUUAAAUUCCUUGUUUCCAAUGUUUUAUUGAGAAUUAGUAAGACUGUAAGGGAAAAAAAGAUUCUACCAGUAUUCAAUUGAAAUUCUUAAAUUGUUCAAG